UGCAUAUGUGUUCGUGCAGAAAACAAAUCCUCUUUUACAACCCAGAACUCAUUAUUUAGUAUGAGUUUUGAUAUCUGUUAAACAGCUUAUA
RNAcentral lists this small nucleolar RNA (91 nucleotides) under Nannospalax galili (Upper Galilee mountains blind mole rat). RNAcentral describes it as "Small nucleolar RNA SNORA40 (ENSNGAG00000005985.1)". It matches the Rfam family "Small nucleolar RNA SNORA40". Rfam says of the family: The snoRNA ACA 40 belongs to the H/ACA family of snoRNAs and guides the pseudouridylation of 28S rRNA subunit at position U4565. NB This family has a high threshold value to exclude a large number of closely related sequences that do not appear to have conserved H and ACA boxes, and may be pseudogenes. The record is from Rfam by way of RNAcentral. Lineage: Eukaryota; Metazoa; Chordata; Mammalia; Rodentia; Spalacidae.